GAUCCUGGCUCAGAUUGAACGCUGGCGGCAUGCCUUACACAUGCAAGUCGAACGGUAACAGGUCUUCGGAUGCUGACGAGUGGCGAACGGGUGAGUAAUACAUCGGAACGUGCCUAGUAGUGGGGGAUAACUACUCGAAAGAGUGGCUAAUACCGCAUGAGAUCUACGGAUGAAAGCAGGGGAUCGCAAGACCUUGUGCUGCUAGAGCGGCCGAUGGCAGAUUAGG
RNAcentral lists this ribosomal RNA (226 nucleotides) under uncultured bacterium. RNAcentral describes it as "partial 16S ribosomal RNA". It matches the Rfam family "Bacterial small subunit ribosomal RNA", at positions 15 to 245 of the family's 1533-position model. The record is from RNAcentral.